UACGUAGGGUGCAAGCGUUGUCCGGAAUUAUUGGGCGUAAAGAGCUCGUAGGCGGUUUGUCGCGUCGAAUGUGAAAACCCGGGGCUCAACCCCGGGCCUGCAUUCGAUACGGGCAGACUAGAGUUCGGUAGGGGAGUCUGGAAUUCCUGGUGUAGCGGUGAAAUGCAUAGAUAUCAGGAGGAACACCGGUGGCGAAGGCGGGACUCUGGGCCGAUACUGACGCUGAGGAGCGAAAGCGUGGGGAGCAAACAGG
Molecule: ribosomal RNA, 253 nt
Filed under: uncultured bacterium
Lineage: Bacteria
Description: partial 16S ribosomal RNA
Rfam family: Bacterial small subunit ribosomal RNA
Source: RNAcentral